GAUAGUGGGAUUGAAAUUAAGCCAUGCGAGUCAUUGUAGCAAUACUAGGCAGACGGCUCAGUAACGCGUAGUCAACCUACCCUAUGGACGGGAAUAACCUCGGGAAACUGAGAAUAAUACCCGAUAGAACAUUAUGCCUGGAAUGGUUUAUGUUUCAAAUGAUUUAUCGCCGUAGGAUGGGACUGCGGCCUAUCAGUUUGUUGGUGAGGUAAUGGCCCACCAAGACUAUUACAGGUACGGGCUCUGAGAGGAGUAGCCCGGAGAUGGGUACUGAGACACGGACCCAGGCCCUAUGGGGCGCAGCAGGCGAGAAAACUUUGCAAUGUGCGAAAGCACGACAAGGUUAAUCCGAGUGGUUUCUGCUAAAGGAACCUUUUGUCAGUCCUAGAAACACUGAUGAAUAAGGGGUGGGCAAGUUCUGGUGUCAGCCGCCGCGGUAAAACCAGCACCUCAAGUGGUCAGGAUGAUUAUUGGGCCUAAAGCAUCCGUAGCCGGCUCUGUAAGUUUUCGGUUAAAUCUGUACGCUCAACGUACAGGCUGCCGGGAAUACUGCAGAGCUAGGGAGUGGGAGAGGUAGACGGUACUCGGUAGGAAGGGGUAAAAUCCUUUGAUCUAUUGAUGACCACCUGUGGCGAAGGCGGUCUACCAGAACACGUCCGACGGUGAGGGAUGAAAGCUGGGGGAGCAAACCGGAUUAGAUACCCGGGUAGUCCCAGCUGUAAACUAUGCAAACUCAGUGAUGCAUUGGCUUGUGGCCAAUGCAGUGCUGCAGGGAAGCCGUUAAGUUUGCCGCCUGGGAAGUACGUACGCAAGUAUGAAACUUAAAGGAAUUGGCGGGGGAGCACCACAAAGGGUGAAGCCUGCGGUUCAAUUGGAGUCAACGCCGGG
This 888-nucleotide ribosomal RNA is filed under the name uncultured archaeon. RNAcentral's name for it is "bacterial SSU rRNA". It matches the Rfam family "Archaeal small subunit ribosomal RNA", at positions 29 to 922 of the family's 1478-position model. The record is from RNAcentral.